Long non-coding RNA from Silurus meridionalis, 871 nucleotides. RefSeq lists it as uncharacterized. Lineage: Eukaryota; Metazoa; Chordata; Actinopteri; Siluriformes; Siluridae. The transcript has 3 exons. The record is from RefSeq and is a predicted model, not a curated record.
UAGGUUACAGUGCAAGAGACAAUGUGAGAGGGAGAGAGAGUGUUAGAAACUGUUGUAGGUUGCGGUGUAGAAAGUGAGAGUGCGUGCGGCGAGCGAGACACCGACUGUGACGGACAGAAACGCUCUUGUAGGUUGCGGCACGAGAAAGUGUGUGAGAGAGAAGCGGUGCGUGUUGUAGGUUGCGUGUAUGAGGGAAAAAGCGAGAAAGUGUGUAUGUGUGCAAGAGUGCGUGUUGUAGGUUGCAGUGAUGUGAGAGAGUGAGCAACUGUUGUAGGUUGCAGUGUAUGAGAAACAGGGAGAAAGUGUGUGAAAGAGAGUGCGUGUUGUAGGUUACGUGCGAGAGACAAUGUGAGAGGGAGAGAGAGAGAGAGAGAGUGUGUUAGAAACUGUUGUAGGUUGCAGUGUAUGAAGGAAAAAGUGAGAACGUGUGCACGUGCAAAAGAGUGCGUGUUGUAGGUUGGAGUGUAUGAAGGAAAAAGUGAGAAAGUGUGUACGUGUGCAAGAGAGUGCGUGUUGUAGGUUGCAGUGAUGCGAGUGUGAGGAACUGUUGUAGGUUGGAGUGUUUGAGAGAAACAGGGAGAAAGUGUGUAAAGAGAGUGAGUGUUGUAGGUUACGGUGCAAGAGACAAUGAGAGAGAGAGAGAGAGUGUGUUAGAAACUGUUGUAGGUUGCAGUGUAUGAAGGAAAAAGUGAGAACGUGUGCACGUGUGCAAAAGAGUGCGUGUUGUAGGUUGCAGUGAUGUGAGAGUGUGAGCAACUGUUGUAGGUUGCAGUGUAUGAGAGAAACAGGGAGAAUGUGUGAAAGAGAGUGCGUGUUGUAGGUUACGGUGCGAGAGACAAUGUGAGGGAGAGAGAGAGAGAGUGUGUUAGAA